UUUUCCAGUGCCUCGUCAACCACUCCUCCAAACUACUACCAAGAAAUAUACCAAUCCAGUUUUCCAGACCGGAUCUCUGCAAAUCCAAUCUCCGGACGUCAAACCCUUCUCUUUUCUUUUUCUCCUCCUUUCUUUCGAGAGAUCAAUUCCAGAGAUUCCGAUCUCUUGUCCGUUUCUUCUUUCCCUCUCGAAUGUCUAUUUCCAAUGCCCCGUCUCAUCUUGUUCUUCUCCUAUUCGUCCUCUUGAUUUCGGUUUUCGAAGCUUUCGCUGGGCCUUCGCGGUCUCUCCUCCGAACCCUCGGAGAUGGCCCCGAUCUCCCCGAUGCCGCCGUGGACCUCAACAGCUCCAAUUUCGAUCGCGUCCUUAAGGAGUCUCCGGCGGCCUUUGCGGUCGUCGAGUUCUUUGCUCACUGGUGUCCUGCCUGUAGAAAUUAUAAGUCACACUAUGAGAAGGUUGCGAGGCUUUUCAAUGGGCCAGAUGCACCACAUCCUGGGAUUGUUAUCAUGACAAGGGUUGACUGUGCAAUGAAGAUGAAUACGAAUCUUUGUGAUAGGUUUUCAGUUGGCCAUUUUCCCAUGCUAUUAUGGGGUCCACCACCUAAAUUUGCAUCCAGUCGAUGGGAUCCUAAGCAAGAGAAAAGUGAGAUUCAAUCAAUUGAUGAUGGAAGGACAGCAGAUCGUUUGCUCAAAUGGAUAAAUAAGCAAAUUGGCAGCUCAUUCAAUUUAGAUGAUGAAAAAUAUGAGAAUGAAAAUACACUUCCACGGAAUGACUCUGAUCCUGAACAGAUUGCUCGAGCUAUUUAUGAUGUUGAGGAAGCAACAGCUGGUGCAUUUGACAUAAUAUUGGAACACAAGAUGAUCAAGUCAGAUACUCGAGUCCCGCUUAUAAAGUUCUUCCAGCUUUUGGUCACUCACCAUCCCUCUAAAAGGUGUCGAAGGGGAAGUGCUGAGAUACUUGUAAACUUUGAUGAUCUGUGGCCUUCAGACCUUUUUUCAGUCGGUUCUCAAGAGACCAAUGUAUUGCAGGAAAGGGGCAGAUUAAAAGGUUACUUGAUCUGUGGGAAGGAAGUCCCUCGUGGGUAUUGGAUUUUUUGUCGUGGCAGCAAAAAUGAUACCAGGGGCUUUAGCUGUGGCCUUUGGGUUCUAUUACAUUCUCUUUCUGUGAGAGUUGCUGAUGGAGAGAGCCAUUUGGCUUUCACUGCAAUCUGUGAUUUCAUCCAUAAUUUCUUCAUCUGUGAGGAAUGUCGCAGACAUUUUUAUGACAUGUGCUCAAGUGCUUCAGUCCCAUUUAAUACAACACGUGAUCUAAGCCUUUGGCUAUGGAGCACGCAUAACAAAGUCAAUGAAAGGCUGAGGAAAGAAGAGAAAGCCUUAAGAACUGGUGACCCAAGGUUCCCCAAGGUUAUAUGGCCCCCGGAGCAACUCUGCCCAUCAUGCUAUCUUUCUUCUAUCAGUAAAAGAAAUGGCACAGCUCAAGUAGAUUGGAAUGAGGAUGAAGUGUUCAACUUUUUGGUUCAGUAUUAUGGGAAAACUCUAGUGUCUUCUUACAAGGAUGCAAGCCUCGGCAGAAACAAAAGUGAUGAAUCUGUGGCAGAUGAUAUCAUCACCUCAACAAAUGCAGUUGCUGUACCUCUUGGAGCUGCCAUGGCCAUUGCCUUUGCCAGCUGCGCAUUUGGGGCGCUGGCUUGCUUUUGGCGGACACAGCAGAAGAAUCGGAAGUACUUACACCAACUACACUCUUUAAAGAACAUAUGAUUAGUAGGAGGGUAAUCAUCAGUAUUAUUGGCUUUGCUAGGAAGGCAUCAAUUAAUAGUAAUGCAAAGAAAGAAGAAUCGAGGCUGAGACUAGUUCAGUGUUAAUCAGGCACUAGCGCUACAAAGCUGCAUGGCAUUAUGGACGUUUUCAUGACCACCCUGUUGUGCUUUCUUUUAAUAAUUGUCUAAUUCUUCAUCAAGGUCAUUCCAUGUAUAUUAUUUAAUAUAAUCAUUAUUGAAAUUUUCAAAUGCAGCUGAGCGCAUAUACACUGCAAAAGAAAAAGGGCGUGCAGAUUAGGAAUUUAGAUUUUUUUUUCCCCUUUUUUUUUUGGCAUGUGUUAAGAUAUUUUGAUUGUUACGAGUCUGUAAACGGGGCAAGAACCCCGAUUAUUGAACCCAUUUUGAGCGUGGGAUCUGAAGAGGUCAUGUUUCUGUUUAGUCCAUUGUUGGGUUUAGUUGUUUCUCUCUACAUUGGUUGAUUCAAUAUUUAGAGUGUCGAUAUGGUUUUCGCUCUC
RNA transcript from Phoenix dactylifera (date palm), 2268 nucleotides. It is a transcript of the gene named sulfhydryl oxidase 1-like, with no coding region annotated. Lineage: Eukaryota; Viridiplantae; Streptophyta; Magnoliopsida; Arecales; Arecaceae. The record is from RefSeq and is a predicted model, not a curated record.